RNAcentral lists this ribosomal RNA (406 nucleotides) under uncultured bacterium. RNAcentral's name for it is "partial 16S ribosomal RNA". It matches the Rfam family "Bacterial small subunit ribosomal RNA", at positions 30 to 526 of the family's 1533-position model. The record is from RNAcentral.
AUUGAACGCUGGCGGCAGGCCUAACACAUGCAAGUCGAACGAGGCGCGGACGGGUGAGUAAUGUCUGGGAAACAGCCCGAUGGAGGGGGAUAACUACUGGAAACGGUAGAUAAUACCGCAUACCAACGGAUGUGCCCAGAUGGGAUUAGCUAGGAGGUGGGGUAAUGGCGCACCUAGGCGACGAUCCCUAGCUGGUCUGAGAGGAUGACCAGCCACACUGGAACUGAGACACGGUCCAGACUCCUACGGGAGGCAGCAGUGGGGAAUAUUGCACAAUGGGCGCAAGCCUGAUGCAGCCAUGCCGCGUGUAUGAAGAAGGCCUUCGGGUUGUAAAGUACUUUCAGCGAGGAGGCGUUACUCGCAGAAGAAGCACCGGCUAACUCCGUGCCAGCAGCCGCGGUAAUUC